This 71-nucleotide transfer RNA is filed under the name Terribacillus aidingensis. RNAcentral describes it as "tRNA_Trp_CCA". It matches the Rfam family "tRNA". From Rfam's summary of the family: Transfer RNA (tRNA) molecules are approximately 80 nucleotides in length. Their secondary structure includes four short double-helical elements and three loops (D, anti-codon, and T loops). Lineage: Bacteria; Bacillati; Bacillota; Bacilli; Caryophanales; Bacillaceae. The record is from RNAcentral.
AGGGGUAUAGUUCAAUGGUAGAACAACGGUCUCCAAAACCGUCGAUGUGGGUUCAACUCCUACUACCCCUG